Molecule: long non-coding RNA, 589 nt
Filed under: Olea europaea subsp. europaea
Lineage: Eukaryota; Viridiplantae; Streptophyta; Magnoliopsida; Lamiales; Oleaceae
Source: RNAcentral
CUUCAUAGCAACAAUUUACAUGAACUAAGUUCUUAGCCCAAUUAUCAUCAAGAGAUAAAAGUCAUAAAACUAACUAUUAUACCACAGAAAAUUAUAUAAUUAUUCAACAAAUUCGCUCUAAAAUGUGAAAUUGAAAAACUUUACAAUACCUCCAUCGGGAAGAGAAACAGCAGAAUUGCAUUUUCUUGACAAAUUUACAGACAGCUCACAGUACUGCCUUUCAUAUCCUUCAUAAACCUUGCUCAUCUUUCCUCCCAAAUCCCUAAUCAAUUCAAAACCCAGAAUUAAAGAUCGUCAAAUCUUUGAUCAAGCAAAAAGUUUAUCACAGUUCAAUUAUGUAGCCGUUGCCACCCGCUCAAAUUGAAAAAAUCAGUUAAUUCAAAUUCAAGAAACUAAAGAAACAAGAAUAUUAAUCAAACCAAAAGACCAAGAUAAUUAUGUAAACAGCUUGGGGAAGCAGUAGCAGGAAUAAAAUCAAUUUGCAAAGACAGAAACGAAUAAGUUAACUUGGAUCAGAAGUGAGUCUGAUGAGCGAGAAAUUAUUGGGAGGGCCUAUAUUCCAGAGGGACUUGGAGGAUGGAAAUUAAAA